RNAcentral lists this ribosomal RNA (426 nucleotides) under uncultured bacterium. RNAcentral describes it as "partial 16S ribosomal RNA". It matches the Rfam family "Bacterial small subunit ribosomal RNA", at positions 354 to 796 of the family's 1533-position model. The record is from RNAcentral.
GUGAGGAAUUUUCCGCAAUGGGCGAAAGCCUGACGGAGCAAUGCCGCGUGAAGGAUGAAGGCCUAUGGGUUGUAAACUUCUUUUCUCAGAAAAGAAUUAUGACGGUAUCUGAGGAAUAAGCAUCGGCUAACUCUGUGCCAGCAGCCGCGGUAAGACAGAGGAUGCAAGCGUUAUCCGGAAUGAUUGGGCGUAAGGCGUCUGUAGGUUGUUUAAAAAGUAUUCUGUCAAAGAUUAGGGCUUAACCCUAGAUAGGCAGAAUAAACUUUUAAGCUAGAGUUUGGUAGAGGCAGAGGGAAUUCCCGGUGGAGCGGUGAAAUGCGUAGAUAUCGGGAGGAACACCAAAGGCGAAGGCACUCUGCUGGGCCAAUACUAACACUGAGAGACGAAAGCGAGGGGAGCAAAUGGGAUUAGAAACCCUAGUAGUCC